GCAGUGAUUGAUUAGUGGCGAACGGGUGAGUAACACGUGAGGAACUUGCCCAUGAGCGGGGGACAACAUUCGGAAACGGAUGCUAAUACCCCAUAGGUGGAUUGGUCGCAUGACUAAUUCAUUAAAGGUGGCUCUGCUACCACUCAUGGAUAGCCUCGCGGUGUAUUAGCUAGUUGGUAAGGUAAUGGCUUACCAAGGCAGUGAUACGUAGCCGACUUGAGAGGGUGAUCGGCCACACUGGGACUGAGACACGGCCCAGACUCCUACGGGAGGCAGCAGUAGGGAAUCUUCCACAAUGGGUGCAAACCUGAUGGAGCAAUGCCGCGUGAGUGAAGAAGGUCUUCGGAUCGUAAAGCUCUGUUGUUAGAGAAGAACACGUGCUAGGUAACUACUAGCGCCUUGACGGUAUCUAACCAGAAAGUCACGGCUAACUACGUGCCAGCAGCCGCGGUAAUACGUAGGUGACAAGCGUUGUCCGGAUUUAUUGGGCGUAAAGGGAGCGCAGGCGGUCGGUUUAGUCUAAUGUGAAAGCCCACGGCUUAACCGUGGAACGGCAUUGGAAACUGACAGACUUGAAUGUAGAAGAGGAAAAUGGAAUUCCAAGUGUAGCGGUGGAAUGCGUAGAUAUUUGGAGGAACACCAGUGGCGAAGGCGAUUUUCUGGUCUAACAUUGACGCUGAGGCUCGAAAGCGUGGGGAGCGAACAG
This 706-nucleotide ribosomal RNA is filed under the name uncultured Carnobacteriaceae bacterium. RNAcentral's name for it is "bacterial SSU rRNA". It matches the Rfam family "Bacterial small subunit ribosomal RNA", at positions 80 to 775 of the family's 1533-position model. The record is from RNAcentral. Lineage: Bacteria; Bacillati; Bacillota; Bacilli; Lactobacillales; Carnobacteriaceae.